Molecule: ribosomal RNA, 492 nt
Filed under: uncultured bacterium
Lineage: Bacteria
Description: partial 16S ribosomal RNA
Rfam family: Bacterial small subunit ribosomal RNA
Source: RNAcentral
AGUGAACGCUGGCGGCAGGCCUAACACAUGCAAGUCGAACGGAAGCACAGUAAGAGCUUCUUCUUACGGGUGGCGAGUGGCGGGCGGGUGAGAGAUACAUCGGAAUUUAUUUUUUCGAGGGGGAUAAAGUAGGGACAAUUACGCUAAUAGCCCAUACGCACUACGGGUGAAAGCAGGGGAUCUUCGGCUCUUGCGCGAGUGUAUGAGCCGAUGUCGGAUUAGCUAGUUGGCGGGGUAAAGGCCCACCAAGGCGACGAUCCGUAGCUGGUCUGAGAGGAUGAUCAGCCACACUGGAACUGAGACACGGUCCAGACUCCUACGGGAGGCAGCAGUGGGGAAUAUUGGACAAUGGGCGCAAGCCUGAUCCAGCCAUGCCGCGUGGGUGAAGAAGGCCUUCGGGUUGUAAAGCCCUUUUGUUGGGGAAGAAGAGCAGCAAGUUAAUACCUCGCUGUUCUGACGGUACCCAAAGAAUAAGCACCGGCUAACUUCGUG